GGGUCAGUAGGUUGGUCGUGCCACCGGUACGUACUGGUCUCACUGAUUCCUCCUUCCUGAAGAACCGUAAUGCCAUUAAUUUGGUGUUGCGGGGAAACAGGACUGUUACUUUGAAAAAAUUAGAGUGUUUAAAGCAAGAUAACGCUUGAAUACAUUAGCAUGGAAUAAUGAAAUAGGACGUUCGAACCUAUUUUGUUGGUUUCUAGGAUUGACGUA
RNAcentral lists this ribosomal RNA (216 nucleotides) under Glomeromycotina sp. Its description in RNAcentral is "partial small subunit ribosomal RNA". The stretch from base 40 to 216 matches the Rfam family "Eukaryotic small subunit ribosomal RNA", at positions 686 to 864 of the family's 1831-position model. The record is from RNAcentral. Lineage: Eukaryota; Fungi; Glomeromycota.